UACGGAGGGUGCAAGCGUUACUCGGAAUCACUGGGCGUAAAGAGCGCGUAGGCGGGCCGCUAAGCGGGACCUCUAAUCUUGGGGCUCAACCUCAAGCCGGGUCCCGAACUGGCAGCCUCGAGUGCGGUAGGGGUAAGCGGAAUUCCCGGUGUAGCGGUGGAAUGCGCAGAUAUCGGGAAGAACACCGAUGGCGAAGGCAGCUUACUGGGCCGACACUGACGCUGAGGCGCGAAAGCUAGGGGAGCGAACAGG
RNAcentral lists this ribosomal RNA (252 nucleotides) under uncultured Adlercreutzia sp. Its description in RNAcentral is "partial 16S ribosomal RNA". It matches the Rfam family "Bacterial small subunit ribosomal RNA", at positions 524 to 776 of the family's 1533-position model. The record is from RNAcentral. Lineage: Bacteria; Bacillati; Actinomycetota; Coriobacteriia; Eggerthellales; Eggerthellaceae.